CUUCUCCUCUACCUGCAGGUGAGAAAGGAAGUCUACUAAAUCAUGGCAUCUGAAAGUCCCUCAGGAGCCAUAGACUUGAGAUGGCAGGUUUUAAUUUUAUGCAUACUUACCAAUGAAUACAGCUUGAUUAUCACAGUGGUAUUUCCAAGGUUUUAUCUUAAACGAAAAGGAUUUAUCUACUUAUUUGUUUCUAGAUACACUGGCCCAUCUAGUCCAGUAUUCUGUUCACUUUAUGGCCAAUCACUGACCUACAGGAAACCCGUAAGCCGGAGAACAAAUAUACCAUGUGGGGCAGACAGCACUACCAUUCCAGGCUUUGCUGAACAGGUGGUCAGCUCAUUUCUUCGGGAAUAAGAUCCACUGAGCACAUGCGGACAUUCUUCUGAGUAAACAUGCCCAGGUUAUGCUGCACGUCUAUUAGCUCUGAACAAACCGCUUCAUACCAACCAACACAAGCAUGCCUUGAAACAAAAGAAAGUGCAAACUUCUAAGGAUUGCCUUAAAGUUCAUUAGCUGUUACAAGAAAAAUCCCUAAGUGGUUUAGCGAAGCUGCAAAGCUGCAAAGGUGAGCCAUCUUUAGGACUUCUGCUGAACCUGUCUUUGAAGUAGCAACAACUCUGACAAAUGCAAUUGCUUACAAAUGUGGAAAUUAUGAGUGCAGGGAACUUGCAGGGAGAUGAAAUAUGGCAUUGCUCAUGGUAGAAGCUGUGGCAAUGAAUGAGAAUAUAGCCAGACUUUGUGGGUAGAUACAGAGGGAAAAAUAAUGUGCAAAUUUUCAGACAUAUAU
RNAcentral lists this long non-coding RNA (787 nucleotides) under Varanus komodoensis (Komodo dragon). Its description in RNAcentral is "lncRNA (ENSVKKG00000008548.1)". Lineage: Eukaryota; Metazoa; Chordata; Lepidosauria; Squamata; Varanidae. The record is from RNAcentral.